This 736-nucleotide ribosomal RNA is filed under the name uncultured Lachnospiraceae bacterium. Its description in RNAcentral is "bacterial SSU rRNA". It matches the Rfam family "Bacterial small subunit ribosomal RNA", at positions 28 to 776 of the family's 1533-position model. The record is from RNAcentral. Lineage: Bacteria; Bacillati; Bacillota; Clostridia; Lachnospirales; Lachnospiraceae.
GACGAACGCUGGCGGCGCGCCUAACACAUGCAAGUCGAACGAGCGAGAGAGAGCUUGCUUUCUCGAGCGAGUGGCGAACGGGUGAGUAACGCGUGAGGAACCUGCCUCAAAGAGGGGGACAACAGUUGGAAACGACUGCUAAUACCGCAUAAGCCCACGGGUCGGCAUCGACCAGAGGGAAAAGGAGCAAUCCGCUUUGAGAUGGCCUCGCGUCCGAUUAGCUAGUUGGUGAGGUAACGGCCCACCAAGGCGACGAUCGGUAGCCGGACUGAGAGGUUGAACGGCCACAUUGGGACUGAGACACGGCCCAGACUCCUACGGGAGGCAGCAGUGGGGAAUAUUGCACAAUGGGGGAAACCCUGAUGCAGCGACGCCGCGUGGAGGAAGAAGGUCUUCGGAUUGUAAACUCCUGUUGUUGGGGAAGAUAAUGACGGUACCCAACAAGGAAGUGACGGCUAACUACGUGCCAGCAGCCGCGGUAAAACGUAGGUCACAAGCGUUGUCCGGAAUUACUGGGUGUAAAGGGAGCGCAGGCGGGAAGACAAGUUGGAAGUGAAAUCUAUGGGCUCAACCCAUAAACUGCUUUCAAAACUGUUUUUCUUGAGUAGUGCAGAGGUAGGCGGAAUUCCCGGUGUAGCGGUGGAAUGCGUAGAUAUCGGGAGGAACACCAGUGGCGAAGGCGGCCUACUGGGCACCAACUUGACGCUGAGGCUCGAAAGUGUGGGUAGCAAACAGG